AACGAACGCUGGCGGCAUGCCUAACACAUGCAAGUCGAACGAGACCUUCGGGUCUAGUGGCGCACGGGUGCGUAACGCGUGGGAACCUGCCCUUAGGUUCGGAAUAACUCCCCGAAAGGGGUGCUAAUACCGGAUAAUGUCUUCGGACCAAAGAUUUCUCGCCUUUGGAUGGGCCCGCGUUGGAUUAGCUAGUUGGUAGGGUAAAAGCCUACCAAGGCGACGAUCCAUAGCUGGUCUGAGAGGAUGAGCAGCCACACUGGGACUGAGACACGGCCCAGACUCCUACGGGAGGCAGCAGUGGGUAAUAUUGGACAAUGGGCGAAAUCCUGAACCAGCAAUGCCGCGUGAGUGAUGAAGGCCUUAGGGUUGUAAAGCUCUUUUACCCGGGAUGAUAAUGACAGUACCGGGAGAAUAAGCUCCGGCUAACUCCGUG
This 433-nucleotide ribosomal RNA is filed under the name uncultured bacterium. Its description in RNAcentral is "partial 16S ribosomal RNA". It matches the Rfam family "Bacterial small subunit ribosomal RNA", at positions 29 to 507 of the family's 1533-position model. The record is from RNAcentral.